Molecule: transfer RNA, 31 nt
Filed under: Urocyon cinereoargenteus (gray fox)
Lineage: Eukaryota; Metazoa; Chordata; Mammalia; Carnivora; Canidae
Description: partial tRNA-Thr
Source: RNAcentral
AAAAAUGGAGAUUAAUUGCCCUCCCUAAGAC